UAAUACGAACCGUCCAAACGUUACUCGGAAUCACUGGGCUUAAAGGGUGCGUAGGCUGCUCGGAGGGUGGGAUGUGAAAUCCCCCAGCUCAACUGGGGAAUAGCGUCCCAAACCGCCGGGCUUGAGGGAGACAGAGGUCAGCGGAACUGAUGGUGGAGCGGUGAAAUGCGUUGAUAUCAUCAGGAACACCAGUGGCGAAGGCGGCUGACUGGGUCUUUCCUAACGCUGAGGCACGAAAGCUAGGGGAGCGAACGGGAUUAGAUACCCCGGUAGUCCUAGCCUUAAACGAUGAGCACUUGAUUGGAGGAAUGGUCACGUUCUUCCGGUCGUAGCGAAAGUGUUAAGUGCUCCGCCUGGGGAGUAUGGUCGCAAGGCUG
This 377-nucleotide ribosomal RNA is filed under the name uncultured bacterium. Its description in RNAcentral is "bacterial SSU rRNA". It matches the Rfam family "Bacterial small subunit ribosomal RNA", at positions 521 to 896 of the family's 1533-position model. The record is from RNAcentral.